CCACACCUGGAAGGGAAAGGAGACAAAAGCUGCUCAGCCAAGGGAAGCCCCUCUGAGCAGAGCAUGGCUUGGCUGCUUCCCGCGUCCCGCAGCCAGCGGAGCUGUCACUGCUCCGUGUAAACAGGAAGGGAAUUGGGGAGGGAAUCAUUCCCAGCUGUCAAUAAACCCUUGGCUGAUCCAUGAGGAACAUCCUCACUUGUGUGCCAGCACAAACCCUCAGCUCAUCGUGUUGGAACUCCUUUAUUUCCAUGUCCACAGACCCACCCCACUCCUGUUCGCCAAGGAGUCUGAAAGAUCUCCCCUGCAGCUCCAAUUCCAUGGGAACGAGCUCCUGUCUUUCCAAACUGUGCUGGUCCUUCAGAGGGAUGAUGCUGCAGCUCUACCACUGCCUGCUUUUCAUUUCUUUAUAACACCAGCAAUUUUUCCCAUUAGAUUCAGGAUCCUUCCAGAUCCCAUUUAACCAGGGAAGAGCAGCUUGGUCCUGGAAGCAGCCAGAGCAGCCCAAAUCAAACCCUGCCCGUUCACUUCUUGCCUGGUUACACAACCCAUCUGUUGCAAACUUCCUCAGGGAAGGGCCACCAGGAGGAGGAACAGCCCCCCAAGGAUGCCAGAGCACUGGAAUUCCAGCAGGAGGGAGGCAACUUUUACAGCUGGCAGCAACCAGAGAUGGGACAGGAAAACCCAUCACCCCCAAAGCCCCAGGGCAGGAUCAGUCCCACCAAAACUAUUCCUGAAAUUCAGCACUGGACAAUCAUCUUGGAAUUGGAUCUGACCUACAUAGAGUGUAUUAAAAAACGACAUGGAAUUCCAGGGAGAGCUCCUCGGGGAGCAGUUGGAGCUGCUGUAGGAAUGAGUGGCACUGAAAAAAACCCAGCAGAGAUUCUCAGUGGGUACCAGCUCACCUCUAAAUAACUAAAUAACCCAAAACUGAUUCAGUUCUUCAUGGACACAGAUCCCAGUGCCCUCAGCAUCCCAGGAGGAAUGACCACAAUGGGAACACCUCCCCAGGAGAGGAUUCCUCUGCAAGAGGUGAAAAUGGUCACAGCCCCAAGGCUGCCAGAGCUCCAGGAGCCUUUGGACAAGGCUGUCAGGGUGGGAUUGUUGGGACUGCAGGGACAGGAUCAAACCAGGCUCACAGGGAAAUUACAGAACUUCAGAUGCAGGACUCACCCUGCCAAGGGGGAAGACUCAGUUCUGUUCUGCACCACCUCAGCCAGGAAGGAUCCUGAGAUCCCUCUGAGCGAGUGCAAAGGAGCUAGAAAAUUCCAGAACCAAAUUUAAACAUAAGACAACAAGGGCAGGGGGUGGGAAAGGGAAGGGAGGCAAAAUCCCAGUGAAAAGGGGAUUUUUUUUCAAAAAAGCCUCUGGAGGACAGAUGGAAUUUUCUGUCAGGUGAAAAAGCCCUGGUAGCUGGGAGCAGCUGCAGAGCAGCGUAAUCCUGGGCAGAUUUCAGACUACUGACCCAAAUAAUCCUGCCUGAUAGUCCCAAAAAUAAUAAAGAAACACGUGUGAAAGGUCAGGGCAUGGUCCCAACUGGCCCAGCCCCUCGUUCCUGCACAGGGUGGGGGUCUGGCCUCAGCCUGGGAUCAGAUCAGGUUCACAGGGAAAUUACAGAAUUUUGGAAGCAGGACUUACCCUGCUGAGGGAGAGGACUCAGGAUGACUCCAAGGAAACCUUAAAAUGCUGCAGGAUUGCCUGGGCUUUGGGAAGUGUUUGUCAGCUCUCCCUGCCGUGGGUGUCUGGGUGUUUUUUGGGGGGGUUGAUGUUAUCAAAGCUGUUUGUUUGUACAGGAGGAAGUGGAGCUGUGGCACAGCUGAGGGAGAGCUUUGGGGCUGCAGGAAGGGCAGGAGGGGAAGGUUUUGCACAAACAGCACGCGAGAAAGAAAACAAAGCAAACUUUUCUUUCACCCCCAAAGCAAAAACGGCCUCCUCUGGCUCUGCAUUAGUUGAAAAGAAGAUUAAAUCUAUGUCUAUAAAAAGCA
Parus major (Great Tit) is the source of this 1982-nucleotide long non-coding RNA. RefSeq lists it as uncharacterized. The record is from RefSeq and is a predicted model, not a curated record. Lineage: Eukaryota; Metazoa; Chordata; Aves; Passeriformes; Paridae. The transcript is spliced from 2 exons.